RNAcentral lists this long non-coding RNA (885 nucleotides) under Androctonus crassicauda. The record is from RNAcentral. Lineage: Eukaryota; Metazoa; Arthropoda; Arachnida; Scorpiones; Buthidae.
GCCGGAUGGUGGAGGACGGCGAUCGACGGGCCGGGCCCGGACCCCAUGAUAAGUAUUUUCAAGGGGUGGGACCCGAGACUCGAACCUGGGUCCUCCAGAGUGGAAAGCCGAACCAACCAACGGUCCGUUAGCAGUGAUCCGGAUAGGCAGUUCUUUGGCUUUUUUCCAACUAUACCGUCUCGGCUUAACUUUUCUUGCCCUGGGAUUUCUGAGGGCAGCACUUGGCCAUUUUAUCUCGAAAUACGAACUUGUCAAAGUAUGGGUAUUGUGAUGAUAAUUUCUGCCAGGCAGAAGAUGUAAAUCGUAUUAUUUACAAUUGUAUUAAGUAUGAACAACAGCGACUUAAUCUUCGGUUAUGCUCGGCUCGCUUGGGCUGUCCUGACCCUGUUCCUUAUUUCAUUUGCUGUCUUUCCGGAGUUGGAUGAUGUAGUAAUGGAGAUGGCAUGUAAAUAUUCUUGUUAAGUGCUGGAUUUCUGUUUAUUCGUGUUUGUGAGGAGCUAUCACUCUUAUUUUCGGUUACGGUCAAGUUUUUCUUCACACUGAGUGCAACUCAUCUAUUCUGUUUUUGAAUAAAGUUCUACAUAGCUUUAUGGUAUAGAACAUAGUAACUGGGGGAUCUCUUUCGGAUUGCGGAUAAGUUCUCCGUAAUCUUGAGAUGAACUCCCACAGACAGUUAGACAGUAGAGACCAUUUAAAACACGAGAGAACACGAAUCAGGGAAUUUCGGAUGGGAUGAGAUAUUGUGUAAUCUAUCACGAACAGUAUUAAUAAAAAUUGUUUUUUUCUAGAUAUCAAAGUAUUAUGGUGGCCACAACAAUAGCGGAUCGAACUAAAGAAAACUUAGUGUGGAGAAACAUCAUCCUACUAACGCUGUUGCAUCUGGGA